GGGGCAGGGAGCGGGCUUUCAGUCAAGAGCAACAGGAAGUUCAGUAAACACCCACGCCUGGAAGCCAUGCCUUUCCAGGUCUCUGGAGACAGGAUGACUCAGACCCAUGUGAGGUUCCCGGUUCCCCGAAACCCCCAGAUUCCUGAGAACAAUGCUUCACUCAUGUUUGUGUCCGUGCCUGGCACAGCCCCGGCCUUGCUGAAGAGGGCAUGCCCCCUGCCGGGCCCCGGCUGGUUCAAGCCCACAGCGGGGAGGAGGGCCAGCCCAGGCAAAGGCUCUAGGUACAUUCCUCCUGGGAGGCCCCUGGUGCCAAUGAUCAGGAAAAGAUGGAAACUAUCUGUCUUGGCUGUGAUGAAAGGCGUCAGUGUGUAAGCAGAUACGGUCUCAGUAAUUGAUGAUCUUAAGGGAACAAAAGAACGCAGAAACAAACGACUGUAAUCAGACAAGAGAAGUAACAACAGCAAAAAUAAUGUUCCAGUUGUAAAGACUCCCGGUUCUGUUUCAAUGGUGACGAUUAGCCUGAAGCCGCAACCACCAGACCUACCGGAAUCUAAGGGGUGAAGAUGACCUUUUCUGACCCUCCUGACUUCAAUCAAAUGAACCCAGGACUCUGCGGGGAGACACUGCUUUGGAGAAGAUCCCCAGUGUUCCCCUUACUUGCAGCCAGAAAUAAACCCUUCCUUUCCGGA
This is a long non-coding RNA of Globicephala melas (long-finned pilot whale), 689 nucleotides long. RefSeq lists it as uncharacterized. The record is from RefSeq and is a predicted model, not a curated record. NCBI's taxonomy places the organism in Eukaryota, Metazoa, Chordata, Mammalia, Artiodactyla, Delphinidae.